RNAcentral lists this ribosomal RNA (254 nucleotides) under uncultured bacterium. Its description in RNAcentral is "partial 16S ribosomal RNA". It matches the Rfam family "Bacterial small subunit ribosomal RNA", at positions 524 to 776 of the family's 1533-position model. The record is from RNAcentral.
UACAGAGGCCUCGAGCGUUAGGCGGAAUCACUGGGCUUAAAGCGUGUGUAGGCGGACUUCUAAGUACCUUGUGAAAUCCCACGGCUUACCCGUGGAACGGCUGGGUAUACUGGUCGUCUUGAGCCAUCUAGGGGCUACCGGAACGAAAUGGUGGAGCGGUGAAAUGCGUAGAUAUCAGGAGGAACACCGGUGGCGAAGGCGGUUCUCUGGGCAUUACCUGACGCUGAGGAGCGAAAGUGUGGGGAGCGAACAGG